AUCCUGUGUUGAGGAUACUUUCUCAGUAAUCCCUUGUAACGUUCCCAUCCUUCAUACAAGGUUUCAGACUCCAUUUGUCUGAAUGAUGAUAUGCCAUUUCUGAGCUU
Dioscorea cayenensis subsp. rotundata (Guinea yam) is the source of this 107-nucleotide small nucleolar RNA. The record is from RefSeq and is a predicted model, not a curated record. Lineage: Eukaryota; Viridiplantae; Streptophyta; Magnoliopsida; Dioscoreales; Dioscoreaceae.